Molecule: ribosomal RNA, 177 nt
Filed under: Priestia megaterium
Lineage: Bacteria; Bacillati; Bacillota; Bacilli; Caryophanales; Bacillaceae
Description: partial 23S ribosomal RNA
Rfam family: Bacterial large subunit ribosomal RNA
Source: RNAcentral
CUAUGUGUGGACGGGAUAAGUGCUGAAAGCAUCUAAGCAUGAAGCCCCCCUCAAGAUGAGAUUUCCCAUAGCGCAAGCUAGUAAGAUCCCUGAAAGAUGAUCAGGUUGAUAGGUCAGAGGUGGAAGCGUGGCGACAUGUGUAGCUGACUGAUACUAAUCGAUCGAGGACUUAACCAA